Long non-coding RNA from Sphaerodactylus townsendi, 2043 nucleotides. RefSeq lists it as uncharacterized. The transcript has 3 exons. The record is from RefSeq and is a predicted model, not a curated record. NCBI's taxonomy places the organism in Eukaryota, Metazoa, Chordata, Lepidosauria, Squamata, Sphaerodactylidae.
AGGAAGGAAGGGUCUGAAACAGACAGGCAGGCCCUCAUAUGGAUAGGAAAACGACCUCCCAAUCUACCCCCUUUCCCGUCUCCAUCUCGACUGUCCAAGAGGUCUCUUGUUUCUCCAGCCCAUUCUGGGGCCUUUCUUGUCAGCUGGCAAAGGAGCUGCCAUUCAGCGACGAGAAGUGUCUCUCCUCCGCUCGCUGUAUCUUUCUUCUGGGGGUUUUGGUUACAGGUUCUACGAUUAGGCUUGCAAGAACAGUAGUGAACUAAACUUCCCAGUAAGAGGUCUUCACACCAGGGAAGUGUUACUUUGCCGCCGCAGCCCUGCCUCGUCACUCAUUAGGAAGCCGCAGGUUGUCAGCGGCUUCUCCCUCUUUGGCGCGCACACACGGGUGCGCGCCUUCACACGCGCAAGCCCCGGCACGGCAACUAAAUUAAGAAGCAGAUGAUUAAGAGACAAGCGUCUACGGGGCCUGUCAUUUCAGCAUCCUUCCAUCAUAACAUUGUGGCACCGGGAAAUUUGCUUGAAACCCUUGGAAAGAACAAAUCGAUGUGAGCUUCGACUGAGAGAGAGAGGGAGAGAAUAUCUGGGGAGUGCUCGCUGCGGAUUGCCUUGUGCAGAGGAGGGACACCAGACGCUGGCCAGCAGCACCCAGGGACCGCCAGAGACUUCUUGGAAACUCUUCUCGGUUUCUCUCGGCUCUCUUCAUCCAGUGUUUUAGUUUCUUCACUGUGUGGUAAACACCAACAUUUUGGUUUUGGGCACCAGGAUUUAAUUGCACUGAGUAAAAGAUAAAGGAAACUUUUGCUCCAGGCUCAGACAGCCAGUGAACAAAGACAAAGACGCAGAAGAUGGAUGCCCCCUGUGGAGAGAAGUAUGGCACUCUCAUCGAUCUGCUAACAGAUGCAAAUUUUUCCACAUGAAGAUUGCGAAUGAAAAUGCUCUUAUAGUAGGAAAAUGUAUGGAAUUUUCUUUCAACACUGAAACCAGCCCAACCAUCUGAAAACUGGAACAAACAGAACUCCAAAUCCAGAGGGUGGACAUCCCACUGAACAUGCACAUUAGAGUCCUGCAGAGUCUGUCAAAUCUUGUUCAGAAAAUGAAAAUGAUAUGGCAUAAAUAGGCAGAUGUUCAGGACCAGGACACUGUGCUCCCUCAACCUCAAGUACAUUUUCAGAAGAGGAGCAGCCUCUGGAAAGGCUGCCAGAGGCAUAUGGAAGAGGUAGGUCUCAUGCCCAUAAUUUUCCCAGAGGCAGAACAGCUAGAGAUGGGAGAAUGGCAACUGCACAGUCAGCUUAUCCUUUCUUAGAUGAACUUGCAGAAGGUAGCAGUACUGAUGCUAUGAGAGCCAUGAAUGGAAAGAGAUUCACAGUCUGUGGGUGAAAAUCCAUCCUGUCUGGAAGAAGUCAGAAAAGACACAUAUUCCUUGCAAUCUGGAGAAACAACUGGUAGAUUCUCAGAUACACCAAAGGAUGGAAGAAACAUCCAGGCUCGACCAGAUCAUCAUCUUCUGCUCAUCUUGGAUAUGCUGUACCCCAAGUACCUGGAGAAGCUUCUACACUGACAAAUUGGACAUCAAAUAAUGGAUGCUGUUUCGCUUGUUCUAGAGCAGGAGAAUUGAAAGAUUUGCCUUCAAGGUUCACAGCAGUAAUGAAGUGAAAUGUCAGGAUUGGCAUAAGCAAAGAGCCUAUUCUCACUACAGAAAGAUAUGUUAUAGGGGUAGAAAAAAUACCCCAGAUAUUUAUGCAUGACAUUUUAUGUUAACUUUCUAAUAUUUUUGGUUGGAAAACAUUGUUUUUGUCUGUUCAAAUUACAGUUUUAUAAAGGAGCAAAACUGCUAUGAAUGAUUCAAUUUACAAAAAGGGAGGGGCACAUAUGCUUAAACAGGAAAACUGUUUCGCAUGAAAGUAUAUUUUCAAGUUCUAGAUGUUUUUGGUAUUUUGGUCAAACUCAAUAAGUGCUGCUGUGACAAACAUUAUUGGUUUUGUGGGACAUUUUCUAUCGCAAAAUAUAUUGUAAUUUGGCUUGGGAUAAAAAUUAUACCACAAA